GCAGCUCCCACCAGUUCAGCUUCAACACAAACCAUGUUCCCUGAAACUCUGCUGCUGCUACUGGCAGCUGCCUCCUGUGUUCACUGUCAGAUCGUACUCACACAGGCUGAACAGUCAGUCCAGGGGACCCCUGCAGGAUCCCUCAAACUCACAUGUGCCUGUAGUGGAUUUACUCUAAGCAGCUACAGAAUGCACUGGAUCCGGCAAGCACCUGGACAGGGGUUACAAUGGAUUCUUCACUAUUAUACUAGCAGUAACAACGGUUAUGCCCCGGUUCUGCAAGGCCGAUUUACAGCAUCGAAGGACAGCACUAAUUUCUAUCUGCAUAUGACUCAGCUGAAGCCAGAGGACUCUGCAGUGUAUUACUGUGCUAGAGACUCACAAUGGUAA
Non-coding RNA from Salvelinus namaycush (lake trout), 390 nucleotides. NCBI's taxonomy places the organism in Eukaryota, Metazoa, Chordata, Actinopteri, Salmoniformes, Salmonidae. The record is from the annotation of a RefSeq genome assembly.